RNAcentral lists this ribosomal RNA (375 nucleotides) under uncultured bacterium. RNAcentral describes it as "bacterial SSU rRNA". It matches the Rfam family "Bacterial small subunit ribosomal RNA", at positions 28 to 404 of the family's 1533-position model. The record is from RNAcentral.
GACGAACGCUGGCGGCGUGCUUAACACAUGCAAGUCGAGCGGUAAGGCCCUUUCGGGGGUACACGAGCGGCGAACGGGUGAGUAACACGUGGGUGACCUGCCCUCAGCUCUGGGAUAAGCCUAGGAAACUGGGUCUAAUACUGGAUAUGACUCCAUGACGCAUGUUGUGGGGUGGAAAGCCUUGUGCGGCUGAGGAUGGGCCCGCGGCCUAUCAGCUUGUUGGUGGGGNGAUGGCCUACCAAGGCGACGACGGGUAGCCGGCCUGAGAGGGCGACCGGCCACACUGGGACUGAGACACGGCCCAGACUCCUACGGGAGGCAGCAGUGGGGAAUCUUGCGCAAUGGGCGAAAGCCUGACGCAGCGACGCCGCGUGA